This 320-nucleotide unclassified non-coding RNA is filed under the name Ascomycota sp. RNAcentral describes it as "partial contains small subunit ribosomal RNA, internal transcribed spacer 1, and 5.8S ribosomal RNA". The stretch from base 1 to 47 matches the Rfam family "Eukaryotic small subunit ribosomal RNA", at positions 1785 to 1831 of the family's 1831-position model. The record is from RNAcentral. Lineage: Eukaryota; Fungi; Ascomycota.
AAAGUCGUAACAAGGUCUCCGUAGGUGAACCUGCGGAGGGAUCAUUAACAAAUCAAACACACAUACCUGUGUCAAUGUCUGUGCCGAGUGGGGGGUGGCGCAUGGUGCGCGUGGUAUCAUCGCAUCGCUACUGGGGAAAUGGGGAAGGACCUGGUAGUGUGUGUGUGUGUGUGGUACAACGUGUGACCGGGCGCUGCCUGAUGGGGAGUGGUGCCUAUAUGUAUGUAUGGGUACGCCUGCCGGCCAACAACUACAAACCAUGUCAGAGUUAUACACAUAUAAUGUAAUAACAACUUUUAACAAUGGAUCUCUUGGCUCUU